Non-coding RNA from Pelobates cultripes (western spadefoot toad), 8197 nucleotides. The record is from the annotation of a GenBank genome assembly. NCBI's taxonomy places the organism in Eukaryota, Metazoa, Chordata, Amphibia, Anura, Pelobatidae.
UAAAGGAGAUCAUACGGUGGGGUUAGGAGGAGAUACUCUAUAUUAGAGGUGGUAAAGGAGAUCUCACAGUGGGGUUAGGAGGAGAUACUGUAUAUUAGAGGAGGUAAAGGAGAUCUCACGGUGGGGUUAGGAGGAGAUACUCUAUAUUAGAGGAGGUAAAGGAGAUCUCACGGUGCGGUUAGGAGGAGAUACUCUAUGUUAGAGAAGGUAAAGGAGAUCUCACGGUGGGGUUAGGAGGAGAUACUGUAUGUUAGAGAAGGUAAAGGAGAUCUCACGGUGGGGUUAGGAGGAGAUACUCUAUAUUAGAGGAGGUAAAGGAGAUCUCACGGUGGGGUUAGGAGGAGAUACUCUAUAUUAGAGGAGGUAAAGGAGAUCUCACGGUGGGGUUAGGAAGAGAUACUCUAUAUUAGAGGAGGUAAAGGAGAUCUCACGGUGCGGUUAGGAGGAGAUACUCUAUAUUAGAGGAGGUAAAGGAGAUCUCACGGUGGGGUUAGGAGGGGGAUACUCUAUAUUAGAGGAGGUAAAGGAGAUCUCACGGUGGGGUUAGGAGGGGGAUACUCUAUAUAAGAGGAGGUAAAGGAGAUCUCACGGUGCGGUUAGGAGGAGAUACUCUAUGUUAGAGAAGGUAAAGGAGAUCACACGGUGCGGUUAGGACGGGGAUAUGCUAUGUUAGAGGAGGUAAAGGAGAUCACACGGUGGGGUUAGGAGGAGAUACUCUAUAUUAGAGGAGGUAAAGGAGAUCUCACGGUGGGGUUAGGAGGAGAUACUCUAUAUUAGAGGAGGUAAAGGAGAUCUCACGGUGGGGUUAGGAGGGGGAUACUCUAUAUAAGAGGAGGUAAAGGAGAUCUCACAGUGAGGUUAGGAGGAGAUACUUGUUACAAAAGACUGGAAAUCACUAUGUUGCUGUUUUAACUCACCGAGUGAUACUGUUUGCCACUGCAUAAGUUAAGCAGAAAACCACACGAAUGGAUUAUGCGAACCCUUAUCAAGGCUCCAUUCGUGGUACGAACGGGGGGACCCCCACAAACUGGCGUGUGCCGCCACUUAACCCCGUCACCCCACAAACUACCGAACGGUCGACCACCCGGCCCGGAGUGUGGCAGCCAUUAACCACCCAGGUGCCUGCGGUUUGCGGUUAACCACAACGUAAUUGGUAGGCCUGGGGGCAUCGACGUUCGCACCCAAAGUACCGAAGGGAAAAUACCGAACUAUCAACCGAACGACGACCCCCUACAGCGGGUCGUGUGACGCUCGUUAACUUGUGGUUUUUGCGGUUAACCGCAGGUCAAGUACCCUGCUCCCAGGUGGUCCUCAUUCCCUUACCGAACGAGCCCACUACCAGCCAGACAGCGGGACUUCACAUGAACUGAUACCGAGUUUAGUUCCACGAGUUAGACACGAAGUCCCGCUUCUCGCUAAAACAGCAGAAAACAUGGCCGCCAACAAAGACUAAUAAUCCCAAAAUGCCGAACGGACUUCAUACGGCAGAAACAGUACAUUCUGUUCGUGGGAUUAGAGCGCCAUUCGCAUGUUUUAUUUACACGAACCUGAGCCUUCAGAUGAAUGGUAGAAUGCGGGGUUUGUCUUUAUUAAUGUAAAAGUUAUGGAUUUUUAUGCAGUUUUCUGGGACGUAAUAAAACGUGGUCUUUGGUGCGCUUGGAGAUAAUUAGAUUGUAUAACCGUUGGCCUCAUUAUCUCCAAGCUGGGCGGGUACUAAUUCAAAGGAUACACUGUAUUGUGAUUGGAUAUGUGUCUGUACUGUACCUGUAUUCCAUCAGGUCCACAGGAGGCUGUCCUUGGACCUGAGGAAUCACAUAAAUUGCCAUGCUAUGUGCCAGUAAAACCAGUUCGUUUUGACCCUCAACUUGCAGCCUCGACUUUGUAGGGAUCCGGGAUAUUGAUGCUUAUAUCGUGCUUGGGGAUAUUCUACAUUUGCAGUUUACUACCGACAGACCUCCGUUCGACUCUCUGCAGCGGGAACCAGGACAUCCAAGCGAUCAACCCUCCUGCUAGACCGGGGGCAAUCGUAACAAUUGGUGGCAGCGGUGGGAUCAUCCUGGGAUUCCUGAAAGAGAUAUAUAGGACGGAUGGAGAGUAACUACGAUAGGCUGAAGCGUACCACGUUAAAGGAUAUACUCGAGAGCCGUGGAGGGAACGCAAGUAACCGGCCGAGGAGAGAAUUGAUUGCCGACCUGAACGAGUUGGAUCAAAGCUUCACCAUGGCAGAACCGACGGCAGCAUGCAGCGAUGAGAAGACCAGGCUUGUCCGAGAAAGGCUGCCUCUGUACGGACCGAACCCAUCCGUGGAGCUGAUACAGCAACUAAUGGCAGAAGCCGAGGCGGACGUACAGCGGACUAGAGCCCACGAGCUGAGCAUGAAGACCGCUGAUAGCCACAGCGGCCCCCUAGAAACUACCGAACAGCCAAAGAUCCCGUUCGCGGCAUUCAAGCCGUUCGCGGAGAAUGAGAUGGGGAUAGACUAAUUUUUGGCCGAUUUUGAAAGACAAUGUGCCCUGCAUCAGAUCCCCGUCGCCGCGUGGCCACGUAUCCUGGCAGGAAAAUUAACCGGGCGGGCCAUGGAAGCCUUCCGAACCCUCAGCGCAGAAGAGGUAGCCCAAUACACCACAGUAAAAGAAACGCUGCUGAAACGGUACGCUGUGACCCCAGACACCUACCGAAGGCAGUUCCGCAGCACGAAGAAAAAAGCGAAUGACACACAUGCCGAAUGGGCACACCGUAUGCGGAGAGCUGCUACCCAUUGGAUUACCGGGGGUGUCGGGCCGUCACGGCCGCGGAAAUAUUGGAACUUUUCUUAUUAGAACAUUUUUAUGAGGGUCUGGAACAAAAAGACCGGGAGUGGUUGAAAGACCGGCGUCCCGCUAACCUACACGAAGCAGCCCGGUUGGCAGACGAACACCGGGAUGCGCAAGUACAGGAGUUCAACAAUGCCCGAACGGUAACUCGCCCCGAACCAAGAGAGGGAUACCGAUCAACUCCACGAACGGAGUUUCGCAACCCUGUACCCACAGGUCCUACAAGGUACCCGGGACCACCCAGCCACUAUCCUCAGGAACACUCCCGACCAACAUGUUAUAAGUGCAAGCAACCGGGGCACCUGAUAGCGAGUUGCCCCCUCAACAACAAUUACCCCACACGGAACUAUAAUUCCGCUCCAACGGGAAACAACCGUCCAGCUCGAGCGUUUUGCCUGGAACAAGACAGUCCUUUAGAAGAAUACCUGGGACCCCUACAUGAAGCUAAUCCUGUGUAUGCCGCCAGUGACAAUAGACAACACCACCGGCAAGAGGUGCUGCUAGAGGGUCGUCCUACACAAGGGUUAAGAGAUACCGGAGCCACGAUCACCUUGGUACAAAGCCGGUUAGUCCCUGACUACAAACGCUCUUCUGACACAGUGGCUGUCCGGGUGGCUGGAGGGGACAUAUAUAAACUACCCACAGCAAAGGUACACUUGGAUUGGGGUGCGGGAAAAGGACUUGUGAGGGUGGGAAUUAUGGAUAAUUUGCCAGCCGAAGUUUUGCUGGGAAAUGACCUGGGACCUAUGACUUCAGCUUAUGCCCCUUCCUACAACGCUGAGGCACAUCCGGUGACGACCCGGUCACAAGCUGGACGAGCACGAGACCCUUCACCAGUGCGGGAGACUCAGGUAAGACUUAACCCGACUGUGACCCCCCCUCCUACCCCGUUGCCCUGGGACACUCCUGCAGCCUUCGAGGCUGAGACCAAAACUGAUCCGACGCUCCAAAAAUAUAGAGAAAGGGCUGAUACAGGGACUGGGAUCAGACCAGGAGACGUUUGCAUGGGAACAGGGUCGACUGUACCGACACACAGAGAAGAAGGGCCACCGGAGGAGACAGUUAGUAAUACCCCACAAGUAUAGGCGAGAUAUCCUCCGGGUGGGUCAUGAUAUUCCCUUAGCCGGGCACUUGGCAGUAACCCGUACCCUGCACCGUAUUACCCAUACUUUGUUCUGGCCAGGAGUACAUGCAGAUGUGAGGUCCUAUUGUAAUACGUGCGAGGUGUGCCAACGGGUAGGCAAACGAGGAGACCACCCCAAGGCACACCUCGUUAACAUGCCCAUUAUCGACGAGCCAUUUAGCCGGGUAGCCAUUGACUUAGUUGGGCCCCUGGCCACCCCUAGUCCCUCGGGCAAGAGAUACAUUCUUACCAUAGUGGACUAUGCUACCCGCUACCCAGAAGCUGUGGCCUUAUCUAAUAUCCAGGCAGACACAGUGGCUAAUGCCUUAGUGCAGGUAUUCUCUCGGGUAGGAUUCCCUAGGGAGAUCCUAUCCGACAGGGGAUCGCAGUUCACGGCAGAGCUGACCCAGCAGCUCUGGCACGUUUGCAAAAUUAAAUCCCUGCUUAGCUCCCCGUACCACCCCCAGACCAAUGGGUUAUGUGAGCGGUUCAACGGAACCCUCAAACAGAUGUUAAAAACCUUUACCCAGGAGUAUAGGGACUGGGAGCGUUUCCUGCCGCACCUCCUGUUCGCUUACCGGGAAGUGCCCCAGGAAACCACCGGGUUCUCUCCCUUUGAGCUGUUAUACGGUCGCAAGGUACGGGGCCCCCUGAACCUGAUCCGUGAGCACUGGGAGGGAGAGACCGAGAACGCCGGGGUCCCCAUCGUGCCGUACGUACUGGAGCUCCGGGACCGAAUGGAGCAAUUGGCUAAGUCAGUUCAGGCCAACCUCCAGGCGGCUCAGGGGCGACAGAAAGUCUGGUACGACCGGGGGGCACGGCGAAGAAGCUUCUGUCUCGGGCAGAAAGUUAUGGUACUAAAACCAGUUAAGACGGACAAGCUGCAAGCAGCCUGGCAGGGUCCCUAUCAGAUAGUGGAAAAGAGAGGGGACACCACUUACGUAAUUGCCAGCUGUCACGAUGAAAACUUAAGAAAGAUGUUUCACGUGAACAUGCUGAAGGAGUACUUGCAGAGACCCGAGGAAGUGUCAGCCAUAUGUAGCCCUGCGCACGAGGACGCAGAUGGUUUACCCAUACCCGACUUAUUAACCCCUAAAUCCCCGGUUGAAAUAGUGAGCCAAGUACAGAUUGGGGACAGACUCAGCCCAGUUGAGAGGGAGCAGCUACACAAACUGCUCCGGGAGAAACAAGCCAUGUUCUUCCAAGAACCAGGGUACACGGAGCUGACCACUCACCAAGUAGAUACCCCCGGCCAAAACCCUUUGAGACAAGCUCCCUACCGAAUUCCGGAGGCAGUAAGGACAGGCAUGAAAAAGGAAAUAGAUGAGAUGCUGCGAUUAGGGGUCAUUGAAGCUUCCGAUAGCCCCUGGGCAUCCCCGGUGGUCCUGGUCCCCAAAAAGGACGGCACCACCAGAUUCUGUGUGGACUACCGGAAACUCAAUGACAAAACUGUCACCGAUGCAUACCCCAUGCCCAGGGUGGAUGAGCUACUAGAUCGCAUAGCCAAGGGGAACUACCUAACUACCAUUGACCUCUGUAAGGGUUACUGGCAAAUCCCCCUGGCCAGGGAGGCUGUCCCCAAGUCGGCCUUCGUCACCCCGUUCGGUUUGUACCACUUUAAGGUCAUGCCGUUCGGGAUGAAGAAUGCCCCCGCCACAUUCCAACGCUUGGUGGACAGACUCCUUGAUGGCUUCCAGGAGUUUGCCUGCGCAUACCUGGACGACAUAGCGAUUCAUAGCGAGACCUGGGAGGAACACUUAGCUCAUGUGGGAAUAGUUCUGGACCAGAUCCGAGCCGCCGGCCUAACUCUAAAGCCAGAGAAGUGUCACUUUGGGAUGGCGAAGGUUCAGUACCUGGGUCACCGGGUGGGCUGUGGGAAGCAACGACCGGAGCCAGCCAAAAUAGAAGCGGUCGCCAACUGGCCCACUCCCCACACUAAGACCCAAGUACUAGCUUUUCUGGGUACCGCUGGGUACUACAGAAAAUUUGUACCGGAGUAUAGCGCCAUUGCCAAACCCCUGACCGACCUGACAAAGAAAAACCUUCCCCGACAGGUCCUGUGGUCUCCCCUCUGUGAAACGGCUUUCCAAGCCCUCAAAACUGCGUUGAUUAAUGCUCCUGUCUUGGCUGCCCCAGCCCCUAAUCGACGUUUUAUUGUCCAUACAGACGCUUCCAUGUUCGGGCUGGGAGCUGUCCUCAGCCAAGUAGGAGAUGAUGGGAAGGAACACCCGAUUGCCUACAUCAGUCGAAAACUCCUACCAAGCGAAGUUAGCUAUGCAGCGGUAGAAAAGGAGUGUUUGGCUCUGGUGUGGGCACUAAAGAAGUUAACCCCCUAUUUGUAUGGACAAGAGUUCACUCUGGUUACAGACCAUAACCCGCUGGUGUGGCUCAACCGGGUCGCUGGGGACAAUGGCAGAUUGUUACGCUGGAGCUUAUCCCUGCAGCCCUUUAAUUUCACAAUCACCUACCGACCCGGGAAGCAGAACGGCAACGCCGACGGAUUAUCCCGGCAAACAGAUCUCAGCCCAGCCUAACCCCACGAGUCUGGACAGCCUUAGUAUGCCCCGAAAAGGGGUCAGACAGUGUCUGCCAGAGUGUUCCACAAAGAGGGAGCAUUGUUACAAAAGACUGGAAAUCACUAUGUUGCUGUUUUAACUCACCGAUUGAUACUGUUUGCCACUGCAUAAGUUAAGCAGAAAACCACACGAAUGGAUUAUGCGAACCCUUAUGAAGGCUCCAUUCGUGGUACGAACGGGGGACCCCCCACAAACUGGCGUGUGCCGCCACUUAACCCCGUCACCCCACAAACUACCGAACGGUCGACCACCCGGCCCUCGGAGUGUGGCAGCCAUUAACCACCCAGGUGUCUGCGGUUUGCGGUUAACCACAACAUAAUUGGUAGGCCUGGGGGCAUCGACGUUCGCACCCAAAGUACCGAAGGGAAAACACCGAACUAUCAAUCGAACGACGACCCCAUACAGCGGGUCGCGUGGCGCUCGUACCCUGCUCCCAGGUGGUCCUCAUCCCCUUACCAAAAGAGCCCACUACCAGACAGACAGCGGGACUUCGCAUGAACUGAUACCGAGUUUAGUUCCACGAGUUAGACACGAAGUCCCGCUGCUCGCUAAACCAGCAGAAAACAUGGCCGCCAACAAAGACUAAUAAUCCCAAAAUGCCGAACGGACUUUAUACGGCAGAAACAGUACAUUCUGUUCGUGGGAUUAGAGCGCCAUUCGCAUGUUUUAUUUACACGAACGUGAGCCUUCAGAUGAAUGGUAGAAUGCGGGGUUUGUCUUUAUUAAUGUAAAAGUUAUGGAUUUUUAUGUAGUUUUCUGGGACGUAAUAAAACGUGGUCUUUGGUGCGCUUGGAGAUAAUUAGAUUGUAUAACCGUUGGCCUCAUUAUCUCCAAGCUGGGCGGGUACUAAUUCAAAGGAUACACUGUAUUGUGAUUGGAUAUGUGUCUGUACUGUACCUGUAUUCCAUCAGGUCCACAGGAGGCUGUCCUUGGACCUGAGGAAUCACAUAAAUUGCCAUGCUAUGUGCCAGUAAAACCAGUUCGUUUUGACCCUCAACUUGCAGCCUCGACUUUGUAGGGAUCCGGGAUAUUGAUGCUUAUAUCGUGCUUGGGGAUAUUCUACAUUUGCAGUUUACUACCGACAGACCUCCGUUCGACUCUCUGCAGCGGGAACCAGGACAUCCAAGCGAUCAACCCUCCUGCUAGACCGGGGGCAAUCGUAACAAUACUCUAUAUUAGAGGAGGUAAAGGAGAUCUCACAGUGGGGUUAGCAGGAGAUACUCUAUAUUAGAGGAGGUAAAGGAGAUCUCACGGUGGGGUUAGGAGGGGGAUACUCUAUAUUAGAGGAGGUAAAGGAGAUCUCACGGUGGGGUUAGGAGGGGGAUACUCUAUAUUAGAGGAGGUAAAGGAGAUCUCACAGUGGGGUUAGCAGGAGAUACUCUAUAUUAGAGGAGGUAAAGGAGAUCUCACGGUGGAUACUCUAUAUUAGAGGAGGUAAAGGGUUAGGAGGGGCAUACUAUAUAUUAGAGGAGGUAAAGGAGAUCUCACAGUGGGGUUAGGAGGAGAUAUUCUAUAUUAGAGGAGGUAAAGGAGAUCUCACGGUGGAUACUCUAUAUUAGAGGAGGUAAAGGAGAUCUCACGGUGGGGUUAGGAGGAGAUACUCUAUAUUAGAGGAGGUAAAGGAGAUCUCACGGUGGGGUUAGGAGGGGGAUACUCUAUAUUAGAGGAGGUAAAGGAGAUCUCAC